ACGGCUCAGUAACACGUGGACAAUCUGCCCAAGGGUCUGGGAUAACCCCGGGAAACUGGGGAUAAGACCGGAUGGGCCACCUAUGCUGGAAUGCUUGGUGGUUUAAAGGCAACGCCCUUGGAUGGGUCUGCGGCGGAUUAGGUUGACGCCGGUGUAACGUACCGGCGUGCCUGUAAUCCGUACGGGUUGUGGGAGCAAGAGCCCGGAGAUGGAUUCUGAGACACGAAUCCAGGCCCUACGGGGCGCAGCAGGCGCGAAAACUCUACAAUGCAGGCAACUGCGAUAGGGGGACAUCGAGUGGCGCCCACCUUGGGCGCCUGUCCCACCGUCUAAAAAACGGUGGUUAGCAAGGGCCGGGUAAGACCGGUGCCAGCCGCCGCGGUAAUACCGGCGGCUCGAGUGGUGGCCGAUAUUAUUGAGUCUAAAGGGUCCGUAGCCGGCUCCGUGGGUCCCCCGGGAAAUCCAGCGGCUUAACCGUUGGGCGCCCGUGGGAUACCGCGUUGCUUGGGACCGGGAGAGGUGGGAGGUACUCGGGGGGUAGGGGUGAAAUCCUGUAAUCCUCCGGGGACCACCGGUGGCGAAGGCGUCCCACCAGAACGGGUCCGACGGUGAGGGACGAAAGCUAGGGGCACGAACCGGAUUAGAUACCCGGGUAGUCCUAGCCGUAAACGAUGCCCGCUAGGUGUCACGGCGGUCGUGAAUCGCCGUGGUGCCGUAGGGAAGCCGCGAAGCGGGCCACUUGGGAAGUACGACCGCAAGGUUGAAACUUAAAGGAAUUGGCGGGGGAGCAC
RNAcentral lists this ribosomal RNA (791 nucleotides) under uncultured archaeon. Its description in RNAcentral is "bacterial SSU rRNA". It matches the Rfam family "Archaeal small subunit ribosomal RNA", at positions 85 to 879 of the family's 1478-position model. The record is from RNAcentral.